Molecule: long non-coding RNA, 1600 nt
Organism: Esox lucius (northern pike)
Lineage: Eukaryota; Metazoa; Chordata; Actinopteri; Esociformes; Esocidae
Exons: 13
Source: RefSeq, a predicted model, not a curated record
CCUUUCACAUUCAUUAAAACAAAAAAGAAACCAAACGCCUCAUACGUGCUGUCAUCUUUCAACAUACCACUCAACCCUUUAGGACAGGAAACAGAUUGAGACUCAGGUGAAACUAUGCAGACAGAGACAUUUAUGGGUUUUCUUCUCUUACUCUGUGCCGCUCAGCAUGGUGACUGCGUGGUGAUAAAGUUUCCUGGACUCCAUUCAAGCAUAGCCAGUUGCAUAAAAAGGACAUGUGCCAGCAGCAUCAAUGCCUGCGUGGACACACAGGGACAGACGCCCACAGCGAAGCUCAAAGGUUGUAUUGUCCAGAACUGUAAGAAACUCUCAAGCUUCUGUCUAGACCAGUUUCUCGAUCCUCAGCUGCAAAGCUGGUUGGUCAAGUAUCCACACACUCUUUCGGAUUUGGAUACGGAGGCUCUGAAGACUGAUCUGGUAGAGACCUAUUUUCAGUGCUGGCUUGAGUUCACAGGCUACAAUGUUUUGGGCUGUUUCAUGAACAGACUUAUCGACAAAUCUCAGACGUUCAUCACCAAGUGGUCUCCACUGUUCUUCAAUGAGCCCAGUCAGCAAACCUUUGUGCCCUGUUGGCUUUCUCAUGCUCUGAAGGGACUAGUCAACUGUUUUGGUCAUCUGGAUGAGAACUACAUUAGGGAAGUUGGAAAAAGAGCGGAGAGAGAGAUGAAGAACGAUAUUUAUCGUUAUAUGAUGUGCAUGAGGAAGCCUCUGGAAAACUGGAACAUGUGUAAAGGAUUUGUGAAUGAUCUAUUUGGCUCAACCCCAACAGAGAAACGGCACUACAAAGACUUCCUUAUCUGCUCAAUCCACAAUGGGAUUACUGCUACAACGAAAUGCUAACCGGUACCAGGUAACACCCUUCAUGAGGAAAAUGUACCGAACAUUAAAACAGUGGUUCAAAACCAGGGGAACUGAGAUCUACAGGGGGGUACUUGAGCAGACUCAUGAGACCACAUGAUACUGGUAAAAUGGACACGAGGUGUUACUUCAGGGGUACGCUGGACAAAGCUAAAUUCAGUUGGUAGUAGAGAACCAGGAAGGGUCAGGGACCAGGGUAUUAAAUUACCAGUUUGCAGAAUUUGUUCUCCAUGCAGACGUGAGGUGAAUUGCAGCAACAACAGUUUGCAUUCCACACACUCUCCUUAAUCCAACGAGGUGAAGUACAGUUCACAGUAGACACUCUGUGUAUAUUAGUUUUGUCUACCGAAUAUAAACCGAAUGUCAAUUAUACUUGCACUGGUGCUGCUGGAAAGUUUACCUUUUUUGUUCAACUGGCAUUCAAAACCUGUAAAAACUUUUAUUUUUGAUAUUCUGAGGUAUCUUUUUAGAGCUCUGUAUAAUAUUAGCUGGAAGGAAAUGACAGUGACAGUACAAUCCAGUCUCCAGUGUAGAUUUCAUUUUAGUAGAUAAACCUGUUACACUACAUUUUGUAUGUUGCAUUACUUUCUAUGACAUUUGAACUUGCAAAGCGCACAGUGUCUUCAGAAAGUUUCAGAUCUCAUCACUUUCUCCAGAUGUUUUUGUGUUAUAGGCUUAAUUUAUAAUUUAUAAUAAAAAGAAAUUGCCAUCUAUCUACACACAA